Molecule: ribosomal RNA, 253 nt
Filed under: uncultured bacterium
Lineage: Bacteria
Description: partial 16S ribosomal RNA
Rfam family: Bacterial small subunit ribosomal RNA
Source: RNAcentral
UACGAAGGAUGCAAGCGUUAUCCGGAUUCAUUGGGUUUAAAGGGUGCGUAGGCGGUCUUGUAAGUCAGUGGUGAAAUCUCUUUGCUUAACAAAGAAACUGCCAUGGAUACUGCUAGUCUAGAGUAUAGAUGACGUUGGCGGAAUAUGACAUGUAGUGGUGAAAUACUUAGAUAUGUCAUAGAACACCGAUUGCGAAGGCGGCUAACGAAACUAUAACUGACGCUGAGGCACGAAAGUGCGGGGAGCAAACAGG